This 73-nucleotide transfer RNA is filed under the name Thalassiosira oceanica. It matches the Rfam family "tRNA". Rfam says of the family: Transfer RNA (tRNA) molecules are approximately 80 nucleotides in length. Their secondary structure includes four short double-helical elements and three loops (D, anti-codon, and T loops). Lineage: Eukaryota; Bacillariophyta; Thalassiosirophyceae; Thalassiosirales; Thalassiosiraceae. The record is from Rfam by way of RNAcentral.
GUCUUUAUCGUCUAGUGGUUUAGGACAUUACUCUUUCACGGUAAGAACACGGGUUCAAAUCCCGUUAAAGAUA